AUCAUGCAAGUAGAACGCUGAAGGAGGAGCUUGCUUCUCUGGAUGAGUUGCGAACUGGUGAGUAACGCGUAGGUAACCUGCCUGGUAGCGGGGGAUAACUAUUGGAAACGAUAGCUAAUACCGCAUAAUAGUAGUUGUUGCAUGACAACUGUUUGAAAGGUGCAAUUGCAUCACUACCAGAUGGACCUGCGUUGUAUUAGCUAGUUGGUGGGGUAACGGCUCACCAAGGCGACGAUACAUAGCCGACCUGAGAGGGUGAUCGGCCACACUGGGACUGAGACACGGCCCAGACUCCUACGGGAGGCAGCAGUAGGGAAUCUUCGGCAAUGGACGGAAGUCUGACCGAGCAACGCCGCGUGAGUGAAGAAGGUUUUCGGAUCGUAAAGCUCUGUUGUAAGAGAAGAACGAGUGUGAGAGUGGAAAGUUCACACUGUGACGGUAUCUUACCAGAAAGGGACGGCUAACUACGUGCCAGCAGCCGCGGUAAUACGUAGGUCCCGAGCGUUGUCCGGAUUUAUUGGGCGUAAAGCGAGCGCAGGCGGUUAGAUAAGUCUGAAGUUAAAGGCUGUGGCUUAACCAUAGUACGCUUUGGAAGCUGUUUAACUUGAGUGCAAGAAGGGAGAGUGGAAUUCCAUGUGUAGCGGUGAAAUCCGUAAAUAUAUGGAGGAACCACCGGUGGCGAAAGCGGCUCUCCUGG
This 697-nucleotide ribosomal RNA is filed under the name uncultured bacterium. RNAcentral's name for it is "bacterial SSU rRNA". It matches the Rfam family "Bacterial small subunit ribosomal RNA", at positions 52 to 733 of the family's 1533-position model. The record is from RNAcentral.